This 253-nucleotide ribosomal RNA is filed under the name uncultured bacterium. Its description in RNAcentral is "partial 16S ribosomal RNA". It matches the Rfam family "Bacterial small subunit ribosomal RNA", at positions 524 to 776 of the family's 1533-position model. The record is from RNAcentral.
UACGAAGGGGGCUAGCGUUGCUCGGAAUUACUGGGCGUAAAGCGCACGUAGGCGGGUUGUUAAGUCCGGGGUGAAAUCCUGGAGCUCAACUCCAGAACUGCCUUCGAAACUGGCGAUCUUGAGUCCGGGAGAGGUGAGUGGAACUGCGAGUGUAGAGGUGAAAUUCGUAGAUAUCCGCAAGAACACCAGUGGCGAAGGCGGCUCACUGGCCCGGUACUGACGCUGAGGUGCGAAAGCGUGGGGAGCAAACAGG